Molecule: ribosomal RNA, 959 nt
Filed under: Acinetobacter sp.
Lineage: Bacteria; Pseudomonadati; Pseudomonadota; Gammaproteobacteria; Moraxellales; Moraxellaceae
Description: bacterial SSU rRNA
Rfam family: Bacterial small subunit ribosomal RNA
Source: RNAcentral
GGGGGGGGGGAGCUACACAUGCAGUCGAGCGGGGUGAUGGUGCUUGCACUAUCACCUAGCGGCGGACGGGUGAGUAAUGCUUAGGAAUCUGCCUAUUAGUGGGGGACAACAUUUCGAAAGGAAUGCUAAUACCGCAUACGUCCUACGGGAGAAAGCAGGGGAUCUUCGGACCUUGCGCUAAUAGAUGAGCCUAAGUCGGAUUAGCUAGUUGGUGGGGUAAAGGCCUACCAAGGCGACGAUCUGUAGCGGGUCUGAGAGGAUGAUCCGCCACACUGGGACUGAGACACGGCCCAGACUCCUACGGGAGGCAGCAGUGGGGAAUAUUGGACAAUGGGCGCAAGCCUGAUCCAGCCAUGCCGCGUGUGUGAAGAAGGCCUUAUGGUUGUAAAGCACUUUAAGCGAGGAGGAGGCUACUUUAGAUAAUACCUAGAGAUAGUGGACGUUACUCGCAGAAUAAGCACCGGCUAACUCUGUGCCAGCAGCCGCGGUAAUACAGAGGGUGCAAGCGUUAAUCGGAUUUACUGGGCGUAAAGCGCGCGUAGGCGGCUAAUUAAGUCAAAUGUGAAAUCCCCGAGCUUAACUUGGGAAUUGCAUUCGAUACUGGUUAGCUAGAGUGUGGGAGAGGAUGGUAGAAUUCCAGGUGUAGCGGUGAAAUGCGUAGAGAUCUGGAGGAAUACCGAUGGCGAAGGCAGCCAUCUGGCCUAACACUGACGCUGAGGUGCGAAAGCAUGGGGAGCAAACAGGAUUAGAUACCCUGGUAGUCCAUGCCGUAAACGAUGUCUACUAGCCGUUGGGGCCUUUGAGGCUUUAGUGGCGCAGCUAACGCGAUAAGUAGACCGCCUGGGGGAGUACGGUCGCAAGACUAAAACUCAAAUGAAUUGACGGGGGCCCGCACAAGCGGUGGAGCAUGUGGUUUAAUUCGAUGCACCGAAAAAAAACCUCUUACAAAAAGGGGAGAG